This 761-nucleotide ribosomal RNA is filed under the name uncultured Prevotella sp. RNAcentral describes it as "bacterial SSU rRNA". It matches the Rfam family "Bacterial small subunit ribosomal RNA", at positions 28 to 776 of the family's 1533-position model. The record is from RNAcentral. Lineage: Bacteria; Pseudomonadati; Bacteroidota; Bacteroidia; Bacteroidales; Prevotellaceae.
GAUGAACGCUGGCUACAGGCUUAACACAUGCAAGUCGAGGGGAAACGGCAUUGAGUGCUUGCACUGAAUGGACGUCGACCGGCGCACGGGUGAGUAACGCGUAUCCAACCUUCCCGUUACUGCGGGAUAACCUGCCGAAAGGCAGACUAAUACCGCAUGUUCUUCGAUGACGGCAUCAGAUUCGAAGCAAAGACUCGUCGGUAACGGAGGGGGAUGCGUCUGAUUAGCUGGUUGGCGGGGCAACGGCCCACCAAGGCGACGAUCAGUAGGGGUUCUGAGAGGAAGGUCCCCCACAUUGGAACUGAGACACGGUCCAAACUCCUACGGGAGGCAGCAGUGAGGAAUAUUGGUCAAUGGGCGGAAGCCUGAACCAGCCAAGUAGCGUGCAGGAUGACGGCCCUACGGGUUGUAAACUGCUUUUAUGCGGGGAUAAAGUGAGGGACGCGUCCCUUUUUGCAGGUACCGCAUGAAUAAGGACCGGCUAAUUCCGUGCCAGCAGCCGCGGUAAUACGGAAGGUCCGGGCGUUAUCCGGAUUUAUUGGGUUUAAAGGGAGCGUAGGCCGGGGAUUAAGUGUGUUGUGAAAUGUAGGCGCCCAACGUCUGACUUGCAGCGCAUACUGGUUCCCUUGAGUACGCGCAACGCCGGCGGAAUUCGUCGUGUAGCGGUGAAAUGCUUAGAUAUCAUGAGGAACUCCGAUCGCGAAGGCAGCCUGCGGGAGUGUUACUGACGCUUAAGCUCGAAGGUGCGGGUAUCGAACAGG